UCUUCCAUUCAUGACAGCCUGUGAAGC
This 27-nucleotide non-coding RNA is filed under the name Mus musculus (house mouse). The record is from RNAcentral. Lineage: Eukaryota; Metazoa; Chordata; Mammalia; Rodentia; Muridae.